Molecule: long non-coding RNA, 2101 nt
Filed under: Homo sapiens (human)
Lineage: Eukaryota; Metazoa; Chordata; Mammalia; Primates; Hominidae
Description: HSALNT0308135
Source: RNAcentral
CUCCCUGACGGGUCUCACACAUAUGGGUGGGGAAGCCCGCGGGGACACACCCCGAGGGGGCAGGAAAGGCUCUCACUCACAUGCCGUCCACUUUAACCGGGGAGAUGGGGUUACGCCCCCUUCCCCUAACCCAGAAUCAGGUGGUGGCAGCGCCCCGAAGAUCCCAGGGACCGCAAUUAUGAUGCUCCCUUUGUUUAAUGCCAGGAGGCAGCGGACACAUUGUGAUUCUUUACAGGGUGUUUGCCAAACAUUUAUGGGUGGAGGGAACAGAAGCUCUGGCCCUUCCACCUUGUUCUCCAGCCACUUUCCAGCUAAACACACACACACAUAUGCACACACACAUACUAUUGUUAAAUUCAAACACCCUGGGUUUGGUUUUUGCUGGUGGGGGUGGAGUGGAGUUCCUGGAGAAGCAAAGCAGUCCUAAAUCACCGAGUUGAUGGGUCUUUUGGGUGUUCCCACCAGUCCUUACUGAUCUCUACAAAAUCCCAAGUUACCAAGCUCUUCAACAAAUAGAAGACAGCUGUCAAACACCAUGGGCUACAGAUACAACGGGCAUAUUCGUAAGCAUAGUAGCUGUUGAUAGUUCUGGAAUUUGGAGCAAACACUUAUUCAUUGAACAGCUAUGUACUGAGUCCCUACCUUGUCAGGCACUGGCUAGGCACGGGAAUAAACGGAGAGCAUAAAUAAGAUAACCUGCUCUCAGAAGAUGCCAACAUAAACCGCAUAGUCUCUGCUAAUGAAUGUAAUUACAAACUGAGAUAAGGGAUCUCAAGGGAAAACAUGCUUCUGAAGUGAACCCACAACAAAGGAAUCAGACCAGACUGGUGGGUGAGGGCAGGCUUCCCUGAGAAAGUGACAGGAGUUGAGAUCUGGAGAAGGGAGAAUUAAGUAAGCAAGUGGAGAGGAAGUGCUCCCAGGCAGCCCCAUGUGCCCCUGGCAGGCCAUAGAGCAAACCUGUAGGGCAGCAUUGAACAGCUUUGAAGAGCAAACUAGAGCUACAGAAUUCUUUGGUCAAGACCAAACAUCUGCCUCUACUGUAUAUUCACAAACCAAAUGUCCAUUCUUCCUCCCUACUCUUAGAACCUCCCCCAAAGAUUCCACAUGAGACAGGAGAGAAAGGAGCAUUAAUAUCCUCACAUUUACCAUCCAGCCACUCUGGUUGUCGAAGCAGCUAAAUCUCAAAUUUACCUUUAUUAGUCUUAUAGAUUAUAAUUCAGAUCAUGCAGACAAGAAGAACCAAGGAACUUUGUUCCUGGCUUCCACUCCUCUGUUAUCAAUGUUGCAUGGAAACAAACAAACAAAAAAUUCUAAGGCCUUUCUCAGACAUACAACAGAUUGUUUAUGUUGCAUCUAUGAGUCAGUUCUUCACUGCUGUUAUUGGUAUGUCUAUUUACUGAACACCCUGCAUGGCUUUGUAAGUAAACUGAAUAGGACCCUGCAUUCUCUACUUAAAUAGAGCCAUCUUUCAGAAGAGUGAUAACAAAUGACUUAAUUUGGAAGAUUCACUCAAGAUCCAAUUUGAUUCAUCGCGGACAUGCCUGCACCUAAGUUCCUGGGGCCAAAGUGAGGAGGCAGCAGUUCUCCACCCAAUCAGACCAUCAUCCUCUUUUUGUAACUAGUAUCUUUAACACUCCCCUUACUAUCCUGAAAGGCUGAGCGAGUACUGGGAAAAAGGAAAUACCCAGACAUUUGAGGGAUCACUGACACUGCUUCUGAAUUAAUGCUAAUUCCUGAGGAUUGCAAACACCACUGGAUCCACCAAUCAAAAUGGGGAUCUAUGAGUGAAGUUUAUUAUGAAAAAUCAGAUUCAUCAAGUGACUCUUCAGUCAACAACUGUUCAAGAACGCUGUUAACAUCACGUGUAGGAAUGCUACGUUUUCUAGAAUUUGACAUUUUCAGCAAUCGAGAAUUACUAUAUUUUGUAAACAGAAAUGCCACUACUAGAAACAGAAUGCUAUAAAUAGAAUGACGUCUUUUGUUUUCAAGGUCAAUAUGUCAGAGCGAUGCAAAAAUAAUAAAAGUGAGAUAUUUCAUGGCAAAGUUAUCUCAGGGUAAACAUUGCAUCCACAAGCGCUGCUGGCGCAUAUUCUCGGGGCAA